UUCAUUGCAUUUCAUUUUCUAGGCAUCCUGCAGAGCUGAUAUCAUAAGACUUGAACAACAUAACAAAUAAUAUCCCACCAUCUGAAAAUACUCAUGUAUCUGAUCAGUUAAAUGAGAAAGAGGAACAAAUAACGAAAUGAAAAAUUAUGAAUGCUGAUAUCCGAUGGUUUUAGUUAUGAGAAUGAGGAAACGUCUGUUUUGUGCUGUUUUGGUUUUUUUUUCUAUAGUGUAACAAAAGAGUUUUUAACUAGGUAAAUCAUUACCCAUAAUAAACAACAAGUUUAGUUUUGCUAAUAUGGUUAGAUGUAUGUAUGCUGUUUUCAGAACUCCAGCUGGCAGGAUGCCCACACUUCAGCAUGUGAUUGACCAAGUGUGUUUUACUUUAUGUAGGAAUAAAUGAACUUGAUACUUAUAAUUUUAUUCAAGAGCAGCCAUGUAGGUAUUUAUUUCAGUUAUAGUUUGUUUUAUUUAUGUUAUGACAUACUGAAACAUAAAUGUAAGUGCUUCUGUCAUGUAUUUCAAUCAGUGUUUCUGUUCUUGUUCAAUUACUGGAUAUAUUUUUUGAAAAUCUUGCUUGGUUAAUUUUGUUUUUUAAAGGGUGUUUUGUUUUGAAGUAGCCACAGUACUAUGGCAUGGAAGAAACAGUACCAGAAGAGAUGGGAUAUGAUUAUGCAGAGAUAAACACAAGUAUUUAGAUAGCACCCACUUUGUAGAAUCUCAUCCAAGUUCCAAAAAUGGUGUUUCAGGGUAUAUACAGAUUUUUGCAGGAAGCAAAGAAAGCAAACUAAGGCAGUGAGUGCAGGUAAUCUAAAUAAACUGGUAUAUGAAAUAACGCUUGACAGGAGGUGCAUCUGUGUAUGAAUUCUAGAAUUAUUUCUUUGUUAAAGUUUCCCCAGUAACUUAAUGGACCAAAAUCUGCCUCCCCUGCCCCAACAAUAUCUGCUGCUUGAAUCAAAGGUAUUUCUACUCUCCAGGAGUCUUGUUUCUCCAAAACCUGCAGUGAGUUAUCUUUGAGAAUAUCUGCUUUACUGAUAAAAAACAGUAUCUAUAUAUUGGACAAUAGAUUCAGAGCUAAUCAGCUCUUUGUAAUAUUCAUCUUGAUAUACUACUCCAGUUCCUUUGCAAACUGACUUUCCUAUGCAGAAAGUAGACAUGGUUUGAUACCUUUAAUUUUGAGUGAUGGAGAGUGAAGGAAUGCUACCUUUUUUUUGUGUGUAUCAACAUAUUUUCAAAUUGUUUGCUAUCUUCUACUUUACCUGCAAAAACUAUUCAUUCCACUGUCUCUGUUUCUAGAGCAGUUCUGCAGAAAAGCAUUGGGAGAUACCAGUAUCUGUUCUAGAUGUCUUCCUUGGCUGACAGCUCUGAAGAAUCAAAUGUUCAAAAUAGACUGGCUUAUUUAAACUCCUCCCCAGGGAGCAGUUCCACACUGUUAUCCAACUUGCAGUUCCUAGAGCAUAAAUUAAUUCAAGCUGCAUUCACUGCUCAUUUUCUUGAGCUGUAUUAACAUGGGCAGUGAGCAAUUGUUGGGUGUGUGGCAGCAUUUCCACAGAUAUACAGAAGCACUGGCCAUUUACUCCAUUGCAGGACAAAACUAACCUGUGUAUAGCAAAAAUUAUGCUUGCCCUGGAAAAGGAUGACCAGAGACCCUAAUGGAGUUUAUAGUUUUACACUAAAAUGUGAGAAUGUGAGUAUCACCUGGGAACACCCUAAAAUCACAAGGUCUAAAAAAUAGGAUAGUCAACCCUGGCCUAUGGGAAAGUAGAAGGUCUGGAUUUAGUAAAAUGUUAGGACUUCUCAGGGGAAGAAGCUGUUCAGUAUUUUGAAGAGUGGUUCAUCAUUCCAGCAGCUGGUCUAAGCUUCUGCUACUGCUUCAGGUACUUCAGGAGUGAAUUUGAAAACUGUUGAGUAGUUUAAAGAGACUGACAUCAUGAAAAUUAUUUAGAUCACCAUGGCUUCCAUCACCUGGGUUCAGUUCUCUGUGCAGCUACAGAUGAGACAAGAACUAUUGCACCAGGGAAUAGUUUUGAUCAGGUGUACUGCCGUUCUGAGGCAGACUAGAUUAGUGCUUUGGCUGUAGCACAGCAGAAGGGAGAAUGUACAACCCCCCAGCAGGGCUGGGGAGCCUCUGGACUAUGAUAUGUGCAAAGAUUUUCACACCAAGCUGGAAAAGGAUACCAAGCAGGUUCUUACUGGAACUUCCUGAUGCAAAUACCUCUUCACAUGCAGGGCUUUUUCUUCCACAUCCCACUGUGACUCCUGCAGAGAGGAACUGUUCUAGAAGUUUAGAAAGAAUCUCAAGCAGCAGAAAAUAAAUCUUGGCCUAAAGAUGAGCUGUUAACAUAUAAUAAGCAGGUGAAGCAGGUUGCAAGGCUUGGUACAUGGAGAGGAGCCGGUCUUACUGUCAGAGAGCAAGGCAAAUAAGGCAUUAAUGACAAUGUUUGUAGGUAGUUUGAAGAGUAUACUCUGCAACAUCAAUUAAUCUGUUGGUUGCUAAUCUAAAUAUGCCAAAUUAUGUAUAAACAAUACACAGUGCAGUGUCAUUGAUGGUUAUUUUUAUAAUAUUAAAGAAUAUGGUAAGAUUAAUUAUUACUUCUAAAUUAUAUAGUACUAUUCGACAAAAAAACAGUUUCAUUUAACAGUACUGGGAUGCUGUGAUGAUAUUUUUUAGACAGUAUUAAAUAUUUUGAGCAGCUCAGUAUUUUGGUAAUAUAUGGGUGCUAUUGUUGCAACAAUGCUCAUCAAUGUGUGUUCAAUGAUCUUACAAGAGAAAGUUACUUGCAAGAUUUGCACCUGAAAAGAUAACAUGCAUUUGGUUGUAUUUAACACAAAUACUACAUAAUUCAAAUCUAUUAUUCAAGUUGAAAGUGCAUGCUUUUACACACAGAAAGAUGAAUGGAGAUAAGUUUUUAGAAAAAGAGAAAUUGUUUUAAAAACUCAUAUGAACUAGCUAAAUGCUCUAAUGUGUCCUUGGCAGAACUAUUUUAAAAGAAAUUAAUUACAAUGUACUACAUAUUCAUAUUUCUGUGAAGACUAUUCAUUGUCAUGCUGUUGUGAUGUAUGAUUUCAAAAAUAUUUUUCUUUGCUUGGUGGGCUGAAAAGCCUAUGCAAUUUCAAGAAAAAUUGAUUGAUUGUGCAGAUGAACUUGCAAAUUUGAUUAUACACAAAGAAGCCAGAUGAAGAAAUGCAGCUAUUUGCUUUAGUCACUGUAAUCUUUUGUUACAUUUGUAACUGAAUUACAUAAAUAUUUUUAUUUAAAAGGUUUUGUGCUAGUUUUCUGGUGUUCUACAAAGAAAAUUAAAAAUGAGGUUAUAUAAAUUCAAAGUGUCUAUGUAAUACUAAGUGUGCUGGGUCAUGUUCUCUGAUUUUAGUUUUAAGGGAAUUCCUCUCUGCUUAGUGUAGCCUCCAUUAUUCAUUAACAAGAGUGUGUUGAAGUCCCCCUCUAUGGUGUGUUUCACAAAACAGAUUAAGAUAGACAGCCUUCCCAGACUUGAAGAAGUAAUUGCCAUGGUGUAGCAGGAGGAGAUGGGCCCAAAAGUGGACCUACUUUUUACAUGGAGAUAGACUUUUUUUCAAAAUAAAGCACUUCAAAUUUCA
Non-coding RNA from Cyanistes caeruleus (blue tit), 3594 nucleotides. The record is from RefSeq and is a predicted model, not a curated record. NCBI's taxonomy places the organism in Eukaryota, Metazoa, Chordata, Aves, Passeriformes, Paridae.